GGCAAGGCAGAUGGUUGAGAGAUUAGGAUUCAGCAAAAAGAUAGGCCAAGUUGCCAUUGGAGGAGGUGGUGGAAACCCUUUCCUAGGCCAACAGAUGUCAACCCAGAAAGACUACUCCAUGGCAACAGCCGAUGUGGUCGAUGCUGAAGUAAGGGAGUUGGUUGAAAAGGCGUACGAAAGAGCUACACAAAUCAUCACAACUCACAUCGACAUCCUACACAAGCUUGCUCAGCUGUUGAUAGAGAAAGAAACUGUUGAUGGUGAAGAGUUCAUGAGCCUUUUCAUUGAUGGCAAGGCUGAGCUAUACAUUUCUUGAUUUCACCAAUGUAUCUUCACCACUCUAUUGUAUUAACAAAUAUACAUACAAAUGUACACAUUGAGAAAUUUAUUUUUCAUAUUUU
Molecule: unclassified non-coding RNA, 401 nt
Filed under: Hevea brasiliensis (rubber tree)
Lineage: Eukaryota; Viridiplantae; Streptophyta; Magnoliopsida; Malpighiales; Euphorbiaceae
Source: RNAcentral